This 344-nucleotide long non-coding RNA is filed under the name Solanum tuberosum (potato). Its description in RNAcentral is "long non-coding RNA (STUB_LNC009887)". Lineage: Eukaryota; Viridiplantae; Streptophyta; Magnoliopsida; Solanales; Solanaceae. The record is from RNAcentral.
UGAUGCUACCUGCCUUGUUAGGUUUAAUCAUAUCUUCUGUGCCGAAUAAAAUGUGAUUGAAAUGCUAGGAAAUAAGGAAUCCAACUCCGAGCACAAAUUGACCAACCAAAAUGCUAGUGGAAUAUAAUAAUAUUGGAAAUACUACCUUUGUUUGAGUUUGUGAAGAUUAAAAGUUAAUGAAAGUGAAGGAUUUCAAAUUCUAGGACCUUUGGCCAUUAUAAAGCGUCCAGUUCGCACCCAGCAGGCGACAUUAGUCGCACUCACCGAUCCAGUCGGCGACAUGCCGCAUAGUCAUUUACCUCGCCGAGUUUUACAGGACCUUCAAUCAAAGUGAAGGUCAAAAC